This 390-nucleotide long non-coding RNA is filed under the name Homo sapiens (human). RNAcentral's name for it is "non-protein coding lnc-VTI1A-8:1". The record is from RNAcentral. Lineage: Eukaryota; Metazoa; Chordata; Mammalia; Primates; Hominidae.
AUAACGGUGUAUGUGAAUGUCCUGGCGGAUGCUCUCAAGAGCGUCAACAAUGUGGGAAAGAGAAGCAAACACCAGGUUCUUCUCAGGUGGAGCUCCAGAGUCGUCCAGUUUCUAAGUGUGAUGAUGAAGCAUGGGUGCAUUGACGAAUUUGAAAUUACCGAUCAUCACGAAGCAGGGAAGAUUGUGAUGAACCUCACAGGCAGGUUAUCAAGUGUGAAGUGGUCAGCUGGAGAUUUGAUGUGCAGCUCAAAGAUCUAAAAAGAUGGCAGAAUCAUCUGCUCCUGUCCCAGCAGCUGGCCUGCAUUGUGCUGACCUCAGCUGGCAUCAUGGACCACAAAGAGAUGAGAUGAAAACACACAGGAGGAAAAAGCCUGGGAUUCUUUUUCUAGG